Long non-coding RNA from Mus musculus (house mouse), 2518 nucleotides. RefSeq annotates it as predicted gene, 35265. The record is from RefSeq and is a predicted model, not a curated record. The transcript has 7 exons. NCBI's taxonomy places the organism in Eukaryota, Metazoa, Chordata, Mammalia, Rodentia, Muridae.
AAAAAAAAAAAAAAAAAAAAAAGACUUUCACUGACCUGGCCCCACGGAUCAUGCCCACCCGUAUCUGGCUCAAGAGUUCUUCAUAAAUUUCUGACUUAAGUGAAGCCAAGGUUUCUGACACAAACCCAGUGAUCCAAAUUUUAGAUGUAUGGCUGUGAACUUGCUUGAAAGCUCUUACAUUGUUCUUCACUGAUAUGUAAUAUCGACCCCUUUGAGACUCAACCCUUUUGUCAAAGAUGAUGAGACAUGAUGCCCAUUUAUUAACAAGGACAGAGAAGACAGUUUCCUGCUAAUUCUCACAGAGAAAAAGCAGAACAUAGCUUGGAUGAACAGUUUCAGCAAAAACCAAGAAGAGAGAUGCCCAGAGAUCCUACCCUGAACUCCAUAACUCAGAGAUCUACUGGCCUUUAUUGUCAGAGCUGGGAUUAAAGAGCACCUCAGUUCUGUGUCUAUGGUAGGAUGUACUUGAGAAGAUGAGAGGAGAUGAGAGAAGAUGAAGUUCAGUGUUGUCAUAAACGGAUUCGAAGAUUACCUGCCAAAUUGUCAGUACUUUUUUGAAAAAGGGAGGGUGUCAAUUACCAAUUACAUGUCUUGGCCAAGAAGGAUGUCAGUUCCCAGGGAUGUCUUGAGAACUUAAACUUUACUGGAUACCUACUCAAAAUUGAUUCUCUGUGUAUGUACCCUGUGUUCUGGAACUAGUUCGGUUAACCAGGCUGGCCUUAGACUUACAUAGAUCUACCUAACUCUGGCUCCCAAAUAUUGGAAUUAAAGGUGCGUAUCACCAUCACCAGGCUACAAUCAUUUUCUAGAUCUACACUUGUUAAUUUAGAGACUCAUAUUUAAUAGCUGUGCAUAGAGAGGAGAGAAAGCAUCCAGUGGAUAUUGGGUUAUAGAAAACUGAGCUCUUUUGUACUUCCUCUUGGGGAACAAUGGCUUCAUCAAGUCAGAAGCAGUAUGGAUAUUGAUGGCUUAUAUCUGAGAUCCUGUUUGAGAGCUUCUCUAGCUUGAAGGUAGCUGCCUCAUAUAAGAUUGUAAUUCUUCACUAUUGCAUAUGCCAGCAAGAUUUUGCUGAAAGGACCCUGAUAUAGCUGUCUCAUGUGAGGCUAUUCCAGUGCCUGGCAAAUACAGAAGUGGAUGCUCACAGUCAUCUAUUGGAUGGAACACAGGGCCCCCAAUGGAGGAGCUAGAGAAAGUACCCAAGGAGUUGAAGGGGUCUGCAACCCUAUAGGUGGAACAACAAUAUGAACUAACCAAUACCCCCAGAGCUCAUGUCUCUAGCUGCAUAUGUAGUAGAAGAUGGCCUAGUUGGCCAUCAUUGGGAAGAGAGGCCCCUUUGUCUUGCAAACUUUAUAUGCCCCAGUACAGGGGAACACCAGGGCCAAGUAGUGGGAAUGGGUGGGUAGGGGAACGGGGUGGGGAGAGGGUAUAGGAGACUUUUGAGAUAGCAUUUGAAAUGUAAACGAAGAAAAUAUUUAAUAAAAAAUUGAAAAAAAGAUUAUAUUGAAAAAAAAAAGAUUGCAGUUCUUCAGCAGAGGCAGUCCACAUCUAAUGAACAAUUCACACCUGAAUGUCCUAAUUUUUUGCUUGGACCACCUGAGUCCCUGGAGAAAGGUAUUCAACUCCUCUAUGAUUGAAGCUAGAAAGUAUUUUCCAGUGAAAUACCACAGCAACCUUUUGGCUUGACAUCUCUGCAACAGAAGCCAAUCUGCAUUGCUCACAAUGCUGAGCAAAUAGAGUCAGUUUCCUCCUGUUCAAUUAUUACAGGAAAACGGCAGGCAUUUUGAGGAAAACUGUCUGCAGUCUCUAGAAUUUGGCAUUACCUCUGACUCUUCAAUUAAAGGAAGAAAGACAGAACUGGAGGCCAAAAAAUGAAUUGGCUAAUUGAUAGUAUCUUAGGAGCAUGGGAAGGAGACAGGAAGAGCCUUCCAAGCAAUGGAGCUGGCUGUAGUAAGGCUCUGGAUUAUUGAUUUACACUGUUGGGAACUCAGAAGUUGAGAUGGAGGGAAAACACCUCAUAAGACCGGUACCCCCUUUAGGCGAGCAUUGUCUUCAGAGUGUCUGGAGACCCUGUUACUUUUUGUGUUACGCCUCACUUUCUCAUGUGAUUACAGCCUGUGGUAUAUUAUGACUUAAUACAGGCCACCAGAGACAUAUAGACUAAGACUUAAUGGACACAAUCUCUUUUACUAACCUUUUGUCCACUGACCCAUGUUAAGGGAUGCAACACUGCUCAGCAAGCCGGGGAGGAGAGAAGGGACAGAAUAGUGGUACAAGGCUGGGAUGAUUAACACUGGCUCAUUGUAGCUGUAUUGAUCUACUUUAUAAGUUGUGGGAGACUAUCUGUUCCCAGGAAGUGAUUUACAUUAUCACAUCACAUUGACAAAAUCAGUUAAGUCUCAGGAAUUCAAAACAAAAUGUCUCAGUUUUGGACAACUUAUUCUCUUUAACAUUUUUCUGUCAGUCAUUUGUCUUUAUUAAUAAAUUGGCUUUGUAAUGUAACUGAUAAUAAUCUGCAAAA